This 246-nucleotide ribosomal RNA is filed under the name Triticum aestivum (bread wheat). RNAcentral describes it as "partial small subunit ribosomal RNA". The record is from RNAcentral. Lineage: Eukaryota; Viridiplantae; Streptophyta; Magnoliopsida; Poales; Poaceae.
AUGGACGACUUACUACAUUGGGAUUUCUCCCCCGGCCUUGCGGUCGCGGCUCAGGUGCGUCAAUGUUUUGGCUCCUCGGUGCACUUCUCCCCCUCUGAUUCGCACAAAGAGUUCUUCUUGGUGGCUCAUUUCUUCUCGGCAAGUUUUCCCCUCAAUGAAGAUUCUGUGGCCAUUGCUUUACAAUGUUGCAUUGGGGGGGAACCCUUCGGGUCUCAAGGUUUUACAUCUCUCUGGAAGAAGAUAUAG